RNAcentral lists this ribosomal RNA (542 nucleotides) under uncultured Thermolithobacter sp. Its description in RNAcentral is "partial 16S ribosomal RNA". It matches the Rfam family "Bacterial small subunit ribosomal RNA", at positions 9 to 527 of the family's 1533-position model. The record is from RNAcentral. Lineage: Bacteria; Bacillati; Bacillota; Thermolithobacteria; Thermolithobacterales; Thermolithobacteraceae.
GAGUUYGAUCAUGGCUCAGARUGAGCGCUGGCGGCGCGCCUAACACAUGCAAGUCGAGCGAGGCCGCGGAGCAAUCCGCGAGUCGAGCGGCGAACGGGUGAGUAACGCGUGGGUAACCUGCCCUGGAGUGGGGGAWWRSYYCYYSRAARRRGGGGGUAAUACCGCAUACGUUCGCCGGAGCACAAGCUCUGGCGAGGAAAGGCUGGGACCCUUCGGGGCCAGCCGCUCCUGGAUGGGCCCGCGUCCGAUUAGCUAGUUGGUAGGGUAACGGCCUACCAAGGCGACGAUCGGUAGCCGGCCUGAGAGGGUGAUCGGCCACAUUGGGACUGAGACACGGCCCAGACUYCUACGGGAGGCAGCAGUGGGGAAUCUUGGGCAAUGGGCGAAAGCCUGACCCAGCGACGCCGCGUGGGGGAUGAAGGCCUUUGGGUUGUAAACCCCUGUCAGGGGGGACGAAAGCCUUUCGGUGAAUAGUCGGGAGGUUUGACGGUACCCCCAAAGGAAGCCCCGGCUAACUCCGUGCCAGCCGCCGCGGUAAUACA